This 165-nucleotide ribosomal RNA is filed under the name uncultured bacterium. RNAcentral describes it as "partial 16S rRNA". It matches the Rfam family "Bacterial small subunit ribosomal RNA", at positions 355 to 511 of the family's 1533-position model. The record is from RNAcentral.
UAGGGAAUCUUCGGCAAUGGGGGCAACCCUGACCGAGCAACGCCGCGUGAGUGAAGAAGGUUUUCGGAUCGUAAAGCUCUGUUGUAAGAGAAGAACGUGUGUGAGAGUGGAAAGUUCACACAGUGACGGUAACUUACCAGAAAGGGACGGCUAACUGCGUGUCAG